GCGCGAAAACUUUACAAUGCCGGCAACGGCGAUAAGGGGACCUCGAGUGCCAGGAUACAAUCCUGGCUGUCGUAAUGCCUAAAAAGCAUUAUAUAGCAAGGGCCGGGCAAGACCGGUGCCAGCCGCCGCGGUAACACCGGCGGCUCGAGUGGUAACCGCUAUUAUUGGGUCUAAAGGGUCUGUAGCCGGCCUGGUAAGUCUUUUGGGAAAUCCGGCAGCUCAACUGUCGGGCUAUCAGAGGAUACUGCUAGGCUCGAGACCGGGAGAGGUGAGAGGUACUUCAUGGGUAGGGGUGAAAUCUUGUAAUCCUUGAAGGACCACCAGUGGCGAAGGCGUCUCACCAGAACGGAUCUGACGGCAAGGGACGAAAGCUAGGGGCACGAACCGGAUUAGAUACCCGGGUAGUCCUAGCCGUAAACGAUACUCGCUAGGUGUCGGCCACGGUGCGACCGUGGUCGGUGCCGUAGGGAAGCCGUGAAGCGAGCCACCUGGGAAGUACGGCCGCAAGGCUGAAACUUAAAGGAAUUGGCGGGGGAGCGACUAACG
RNAcentral lists this ribosomal RNA (546 nucleotides) under uncultured Methanosarcinales archaeon. RNAcentral describes it as "bacterial SSU rRNA". It matches the Rfam family "Archaeal small subunit ribosomal RNA", at positions 339 to 886 of the family's 1478-position model. Lineage: Archaea; Methanobacteriati; Methanobacteriota; Methanomicrobia; Methanosarcinales. The record is from RNAcentral.